GGAUGGAGAGCAAUUAUUCGGCCAAUUAGAGAUUAGUUUCGUUUUUGGCCAAUCCAAUUCUUCGUCUUCUUGUUGUUCCAGCAAGGAAUU
Molecule: non-coding RNA, 90 nt
Organism: Caenorhabditis elegans
Lineage: Eukaryota; Metazoa; Nematoda; Chromadorea; Rhabditida; Rhabditidae
Source: Ensembl